This 404-nucleotide ribosomal RNA is filed under the name Pinnularia borealis complex sp. RNAcentral describes it as "partial 28S ribosomal RNA". Lineage: Eukaryota; Bacillariophyta; Bacillariophyceae; Sellaphorales; Pinnulariaceae. The record is from RNAcentral.
CUGCUGUUGCGUGGAAACAGGUCACGAAAAGAUMUCCAUUUUYGUUGACACUGUGCACGCACUGCGAUGCAGUUGAACAAAAUAGAUUUGUUUGCCCCGUCUAGAAACACGGACCAAGGAGUCUAACAUAUGUGCGAGUACUGCGGUUGCAUACCUCGGUGCAAAAUGAAAGUGUUAGAGGCUGGAAUGCAUUUGUAGCAUUUGCACAGUCCGCCGGCCUCAAUCCCUCGGGAGAAUGGUCUGAGUGUGAGCAUACAUGUUGGGACCCGAAAGAUGGUGAACUAUGCUUGAGUAGGGUGAAGCCAGGGGAAACUUUGGUGAAGGCUCGCAGCGAUUCUGACGUGCAAAUCGAUCGUCAAACUUGAGUAUAGGGGCGAAAGACUAAUCGAACUAUCUAGUAGCUG